GGCGCGAGCAGGUGCGAAAGCAGGUCAUAGUGAUCCGGUGGUUCUGAAUGGAAGGGCCAUCGCUCAACGGAUAAAAGGUACUCCGGGGAUAACAGGCUGAUACCGCCCAAGAGUUCAUAUCGACGGCGGUGUUUGGCACCUCGAUGUCGGCUCAUCACAUCCUGGGGCUGAAGUAGGUCCCAAGGGUAUGGCUGUUCGCCAUUUAAAGUGGUACGCGAGCUGGGUUUAGAACGUCGUGAGACAGUUCGGUCCCUAUCUGCCGUGGGCGCUGGAGAACUGAGGGGGGCUGCUCCUAGUACGAGAGGACCGGAGUGGACGCAUCACUGGUGUUCGGGUUGUCAUGCCAAUGGCACUGCCCGGUAGCUAAAUGCGGAAGAGAUAAGUGCUGAAAGCAUCUAAGCACGAAACUUGCCCCGA
Molecule: ribosomal RNA, 417 nt
Filed under: Salmonella enterica
Lineage: Bacteria; Pseudomonadati; Pseudomonadota; Gammaproteobacteria; Enterobacterales; Enterobacteriaceae
Also listed under: 2 other names
Description: partial 23S ribosomal RNA
Rfam family: Bacterial large subunit ribosomal RNA
Source: RNAcentral